GAUGAACGCUGGCGGCGUGCCUAAUACAUGCAAGUCGAGCGAACGGACGAGAAGCUUGCUUCUCUGAUGUUAGCGGCGGACGGGUGAGUAACACGUGGAUAACCUACCUAUAAGACUGGGAUAACUUCGGGAAACCGGAGCUAAUACCGGAUAAUAUUUUGAACCGCAUGGUUCAAAAGUGAAAGACGGUCUUGCUGUCACUUAUAGAUGGAUCCGCGCUGCAUUAGCUAGUUGGCAAGGUAACGGCUUACCAAGGCAACGAUGCAUAGCCGACCUGAGAGGGUGAUCGGCCCAACUGGAACUGAGACACGGUCCAGACUCCUACGGGAGGCAGCAGUAGGGAAUCUUCCGCAAUGGGCGAAAGCCUGACGGAGCAACGCCGCGUGAGUGAUGAAGGUCUUCGGAUCGUAAAACUCUGUUAUUAGGGAAGAACAUAUGUGUAAGUAACUGUGCACAUCUUGACGGUACCUAAUCAGAAAGCCACGGCUAACUACGUGC
RNAcentral lists this ribosomal RNA (498 nucleotides) under uncultured bacterium. Its description in RNAcentral is "partial 16S ribosomal RNA". It matches the Rfam family "Bacterial small subunit ribosomal RNA", at positions 28 to 508 of the family's 1533-position model. The record is from RNAcentral.